UACAGAGGUGCCAAGCGUUGUUCGGAUUUACUGGGCGUAAAGGGCGCGUAGGCGGCCACCGCAAGUCGACUGUGAAAUCUCCGGGCUUAACCCGGAAAGGUCAGCCGAUACUGCGGGGCUAGAGUGCAGAAGGGGCAACUGGAAUUCUCGGUGUAGCGGUGAAAUGCGUAGAUAUCGAGAGGAACACCUGCGGCGAAGGCGGGUUGCUGGGCUGACACUGACGCUGAAGCGCGAAAGCUAGGGGAGCGAACGGG
This 254-nucleotide ribosomal RNA is filed under the name uncultured bacterium. Its description in RNAcentral is "partial 16S ribosomal RNA". It matches the Rfam family "Bacterial small subunit ribosomal RNA", at positions 524 to 776 of the family's 1533-position model. The record is from RNAcentral.